AUACUCUGGCUUCUCUACAGAUCAUAUAAAUCUUUUGCCUUUUACUAAAGAUUUCCAUGGAGAAGAACAGUUAUGAGUUUGGAAAAAG
RNAcentral lists this small nuclear RNA (88 nucleotides) under Salvator merianae (Argentine black and white tegu). Its description in RNAcentral is "U5 spliceosomal RNA (ENSSMRG00000010747.1)". It matches the Rfam family "U5 spliceosomal RNA", at positions 1 to 88 of the family's 117-position model. Rfam says of the family: U5 RNA is a component of both types of known spliceosome. The precise function of this molecule is unknown, though it is known that the 5' loop is required for splice site selection and p220 binding, and that both the 3' stem-loop and the Sm site are important for Sm protein binding and cap methylation. The record is from Rfam by way of RNAcentral. Lineage: Eukaryota; Metazoa; Chordata; Lepidosauria; Squamata; Teiidae.